ACAUCCAGAGAACUUAGCAGAGAUGCUUUGGUGCCUUCGGGAACUCUGAGACAGGUGCUGCAUGGCUGUCGUCAGCUCGUGUUGUGAAAUGUUGGGUUAAGUCCCGCAACGAGCGCAACCCUUAUCCUUGUUUGCCAGCACUUCGGGUGGGAACUCCAGGGAGACUGCCGGUGAUAAACCGGAGGAAGGUGGGGACGACGUCAAGUCAUCAUGGCCCUUACGAGUAGGGCUACACACGUGCUACAAUGGCGUAUACAGAGGGCUGCCAACUCGCGAGAGUGAGCGAAUCCCAUAAAGUACGUCGUAGUCCGGAUUGGAGUCUGCAACUCGACUCCAUGAAGUCGGAAUCGCUAGUAAUCGUGAAUCAGAAUGUCACGGUGAAUACGUUCCCGGGCCUUGUACACACCGCCCGUCACACCAUGGGAGUGGGCUGCACCAGAAGUAGAUAGCCA
Molecule: ribosomal RNA, 452 nt
Filed under: Vibrio sp. PID41_2
Lineage: Bacteria; Pseudomonadati; Pseudomonadota; Gammaproteobacteria; Vibrionales; Vibrionaceae
Description: bacterial SSU rRNA
Rfam family: Bacterial small subunit ribosomal RNA
Source: RNAcentral